GCUGGGUGUGGUGAUGCACACCGGUGAUCCCAAUUAGUCGGAGGCUGAGGCAAGAGGAUCACAAGUUCAAGGCCAACCUCAGCAAUUUAGUGAGAGAUCCUGUCUCAA
RNAcentral lists this small RNA (108 nucleotides) under Marmota monax (woodchuck). The record is from RNAcentral. Lineage: Eukaryota; Metazoa; Chordata; Mammalia; Rodentia; Sciuridae.